Long non-coding RNA from Capsicum annuum, 883 nucleotides. RefSeq lists it as uncharacterized. NCBI's taxonomy places the organism in Eukaryota, Viridiplantae, Streptophyta, Magnoliopsida, Solanales, Solanaceae. The transcript is spliced from 2 exons. The record is from RefSeq and is a predicted model, not a curated record.
GAUGCAAUUUUUCUUACAAAAUCAUGUGAAAGUUUUAUCUUUAUGCAUAUAUAACAUUUGAGGAACAUAAGACUUUAUUCUUAUUAGCUUUGGUGUUGAAUUUUUGCGUAAAACUCAGAUUAGUUGAGCUCUACUCUCUCCAUUUCAAUUAGUUUUUCUGGUUUUGACUUGACGGGAAGUUUAAGAAAGUAAAUUUUGUAUAAUUAAGUGGGCUGUUGUAAAGGUCUCUUGAGUGUUUCUUCACUAGUGUGUUAAUAGACCACCAUAAAUUUUUAUUUAAAAAAACUACACAACUUAGAAAGUAUAGACUUCUUUUUUAUCGAUUAAAUAUAAUGCGUAACCUUUCUUCUCUUUCCCCUUCUCAACAGUCUCUUUCCUUUCUCCCAAUCUGUAAGCAUAGAUGACUAUCAAAAUAGGCUAAAUUUUUAGUUUCUUUCAAUUUAUUUCUUCUCUAAUACUUGAUGAAGCAAAUAUUGACUGUUAUUUGUUUGUAUAGGCUAUUACAAUAAGUCGAGAUCUAACUUCAAGUGAGUUACAUUUGCACGUUAUACACAUAAUCAUGAUGGUAAAUCUUUUGUUGCUGAGCAUUUCCAACUUCUCGACGAAAAGCAUAAAGAAAUUGUAUGAAAAAAAAAGACUAACUGAAUCUGAAAUUGAUCAAUUGGAAUCAUGUUAUGAAGCUGCGAGAGGAGUAAAGAAGAAAACAGUCUGUAGUAACACGUACCAAUUUCAAUGGAUGUGGAUUUGACAUUAGUUUAUUUUUGACAAAAUACUUGAACUUGUGGAUGUUUGGACUCAAUUAUGUGAUGCAUUUUGCUAUCUAUAUAUUUUGAACAUUCUAAUAUAAGUAAUUAUUUAUAUGAAUGUUGGUUAUUUUAAUCAU